GAUGAACGCUGGCGGCGUGCUUAACACAUGCAAGUCGAACGGUGAAGGCGGAGCUUGCUCUGCUGGAUCAGUGGCGAACGGGUGAGUAACACGUGAGCAAUCUGCCCCUGACUCUGGGAUAAGCGCUGGAAACGGCGUCUAAUACUGGAUACGAGCUGCGAAGGCAUCUUCAGCAGCUGGAAAGAACUUCGGUCAGGGAUGAGCUCGCGGCCUAUCAGCUUGUUGGUGAGGUAACGGCUCACCAAGGCGUCGACGGGUAGCCGGCCUGAGAGGGUGACCGGCCACACUGGGACUGAGACACGGCCCAGACUCCUACGGGAGGCAGCAGUGGGGAAUAUUGCACAAUGGGCGAAAGCCUGAUGCAGCAACGCCGCGUGAGGGACGACGGCCUUCGGGUUGUAAACCUCUUUUAGCAGGGAAGAAGCGAAAGUGACGGUACCUGCAGAAAAAGCGCCGGCUAACUACGUG
Molecule: ribosomal RNA, 468 nt
Filed under: uncultured bacterium
Lineage: Bacteria
Description: partial 16S ribosomal RNA
Rfam family: Bacterial small subunit ribosomal RNA
Source: RNAcentral